RNAcentral lists this small nucleolar RNA (138 nucleotides) under Ornithorhynchus anatinus (platypus). The record is from RNAcentral. Lineage: Eukaryota; Metazoa; Chordata; Mammalia; Monotremata; Ornithorhynchidae.
UCCCUCUCAGGGUCUCACCUGGAGAGUUUCCAAUACUCGACCAGUCUUGACUAUGGGAGGGACAGUCAAGCAGAGGUAUAUCUAUUCCAUUCCUAGCUUGACCAGUGGCUAGUGAGUGGAAGGUGAUCUGCUACAAGU